This 408-nucleotide ribosomal RNA is filed under the name uncultured bacterium. RNAcentral's name for it is "partial 16S ribosomal RNA". It matches the Rfam family "Bacterial small subunit ribosomal RNA", at positions 28 to 526 of the family's 1533-position model. The record is from RNAcentral.
GACGAACGCUGGCGGCGUGCUUAACACAUGCAAGUCGAACGAAGUGGCGAACGGGUGAGUAACGCGUAAUCAACCUGCCCUUCAGAGGGGGACAACAGGUGGAAACGACUGCUAAUACCGCAUACUGAAGGAGGGGAUUGCUUCUGAUUAGCUAGUGGGAGGGGUAACGGCCCACAAAGGCGAUGAUCACUCGCCGGUCUUGGAGGAUGAACGGCCACAUUGGGACUUAGACACGGCCCAGACUCCUACGUGAGGCAGCAGUGGGGAAUCUUCCGCAAUGGACGAAAGUCUGACGGAGCAACGCCGCGUGAGGGAUGACGGCCUUCGGGUUGUAAAGCUCUGUUAAUCGGGACGCGGUACCGGAAUAGAAAGCCACGGCUAACUACGUGCCAGCAGCCGCGGUAAUUC